CCUACGGGUGGCAGCAGUGAGGAAUAUUGGUCAAUGGACGCAAGUCUGAACCAGCCAUGCCGCGUGCAGGAAGACGGCUCUAGGAGUUGUAAACUGCUUUUGUACGAGGGAAAACGCAGAUACGCGUAUCAGUCUGAAAGUAUCGUACGAAUAAGGAUCGGCUAACUCCGUGCCAGCACCCGCGGUAAUACGGAGGAUUCAAGCGUUAUCCGGAUUUAUUGGGUUUAAAGGGUGCGUAGGCGGUCGGGUAAGUUAGGGGUGAAAUCCCGAGGCUCAACUUCGGAAUUGCCUCUGAUACUGUUCGGCUAGAGAGCAGUUGCGGUAGGCGGAAU
RNAcentral lists this ribosomal RNA (332 nucleotides) under uncultured bacterium. RNAcentral describes it as "partial 16S ribosomal RNA". It matches the Rfam family "Bacterial small subunit ribosomal RNA", at positions 338 to 667 of the family's 1533-position model. The record is from RNAcentral.